Lutzomyia longipalpis is the source of this 2549-nucleotide long non-coding RNA. RefSeq lists it as uncharacterized. NCBI's taxonomy places the organism in Eukaryota, Metazoa, Arthropoda, Insecta, Diptera, Psychodidae. The record is from RefSeq and is a predicted model, not a curated record. The transcript has 3 exons.
UUUUCACUUCUUUAACUUGCAAUCAUCGUUAAUAGAGAUAUGUUAGUUUGGUUAAUGAUAUGUUUAGCUGAAGUACAAAGGUUAAAUACUUUGGCGUGUUCUGGAAAAUUCCAUUCCUCAACCGAAGCAUUCAGUUAAAGCAGAUUGAUGGAAGUUUUUGACAGCGUUCUGUUUUCUCCUGAUUUCUUUGUAAUUAUGGAGUGAAAAACUGUGAAAAAAUAGUGUAAAAGUAAUGAAAAUCCUUCAUGAGUGAUUAUUUAAGAGUUUUCAAGUGCUAUUGUAAUGAAAUUAGCAAGUUUUAGCACUAAAAUUGAGAUAUUGCGUUGUGAGUGAAAAAAACGAAGCCAUUUUGUUUUCCUUUGUGAGUACGUUGACUGAAAUGAUUGGUUAAAUCCGAAUGGGUGAGUGGUGCAAAUAUAUUAUAUAUAUAUUCGUUUUUCUACAAAUCAAACAAGUUUUGACAUGUCAUUCAGUCACUGAGCAUUUCUUUUAUUUGAAUUAAUUAAUUCUUUUAUAAUAUUAUAUAAAUGAAAAACUUUUCCUUUUCUGAUCAAUUAUAUUUUCUUUUUUGACUAUUUGAUUCGGCUUUUUUAUCUUUUAACCAAACAACUUUUGUUAUUUUAACCAAAUAACUUCAGUUACUUGGGCUACCUUAUUAACUUUGACUGGAAAAUUUUUGUGUUUUUUACAAUUUCAAAUUGCUUUUUUAAUAAUUUUAUUCAGCUUUAUUGUCUUUUAUCCAAACAACUUUUGUUAUUUUAACCAAAUAACUUCAGUUACUUGGGCUACCUUAUUAACUUUGACUGGAAAAUUUUUGUGUUUUUGACAAUUUCAAAUUGCUUUUUUAAUAAUUUUAUUCAGCUUUAUUGUCUUUUAACCAAACAACUUUUGUUAUUUUAACCAAAUAACUUCAGUUACUUGGGCUACCUUAUUAACUUUGACUGGAAAAUUUCUGUGUUUUUGACAAUUUCAAAUUGCUUUUUUAAUAAUUUUAUUCAGCUUUAUUAUCUUUUAAUCAAAGGACUUUUGUUCUUUUGACCAAAUAAUUUCUGUUACUUGAGUUGCUUCAUGAAUUUUGACCGCAGAAUUUCUAUAUUUUCGCUGUGUUUCUUUCAGACACAGCUUUUUGUGUACCGAGCAAAAUCGAAAGUCGUCAGAUCGGGCUCAAACUUGGGAUGAGCACAAAUUAGGGUCCCCACAUUCCAAAAAACGUAUGCGCCAAAAAAAUUUUUUUCCGGCCGGCCGGCCGUCUGCAGUAUAACACUAAAUUGCGAGGGAACUGUGAUAGAUAGAGACUUGCGGCUAAACCUAUAAACCAAUACCUAUAAACCGGUUUUGCCUAUAUCUCAGAUAUCUAAAAAUCUGAAAUUUUGAUAUGUUGUAGGGGACAUCAAGCUCUCAACAUACCCUACAACUCUCUAGAACAUCCGAAGUUUCAAAAGUGACCGCUAGAGGGCCAAAAAACGAAAACAAAAUUUUCGAUGAGUUUUCGAUGAAUAUCUCGAAAACGGCGACAUAUUGUUACGAUUUUUGGGAGAAAUAAAAUUACCGGAAAUAAACAAACGGUUAUUAUGAAUUCAAAUGAAACGAAACACGGCGAAAUGCCGAAAGAGAUUAAGAUGAAGAAGAAGAUAGGACCCAUCAAAAAUAUGUUUCGAGGUCGGUCGGCAGCUAAAAUUUUGUCCGCAGUUUAUUUUUUCAUUCGGGUGGAUUUAUCUCGCUUUGGGAGCGUUCGGCGUGGGUGCAGAAAAUUUCCGCGGUUUUCUUCAAAAAUUCGUCAAUUUGAGACUUUGUGGUUUGAGAGUGCAAAAAUGAUGGAAAAUUCACGCAGAAGAGAUGCGGUAAGUAAUUUUACAAUUUUCUUAAUUAAUUUGGGUAAUUUUAUCUUUUUGAUCCUACUAGAUUUCACAAAUAUCUUUUGUGGAAUGUUUUAGUAGCAUCAGAUUGAUGAAAUUGAUAGAAAACAAUGAGAAAAAAAUUAAUUAUUUUGAUCUAAAAAUUCUUCAUUGCAAAAAAAGAGCCCGAAAUUGAUUUUUCUUUUUUUUUUUAAAUUAAUUUUCUCAAGAUAUAAAAACAAAAACUUUUGUAAACAAGAAAAAAAAAGAACAAUUUAUCAAUUUUUACUAUAGGUAUUUCAGAUCGUUUUUGGAACACAAUCAGUGCCCAGGAUGACCAGCCCGGAAGCCUUACCCGGAUGCCCUAUUCAGGAAGCCCUGCCUGGACCCCUACCCGCAUGGCCUGCCUGAAUGCUCUACCCGGAUGCCCUGCCCGCUUUUGCUUUAAUUUUUGACAACAUUCCAAAAUGCGGAAAUAUCCGUUUGAAGCACAAAACUGUCCGUGCCUGGCUUCAGUCCUCAAUUUCUGGGAUCCGGUCUUACACAACUUUAUGCAACAUAAUUUUCCGGAAAUGGAAGUCCCGGAAGUCACAAAGGUGAAGAGGAGAGAUCAUCUGAAAAGCCGCCCAGCAUCGAAGGAGACAGCAGGAGAAGGAAAAGGCAACGCCGGAUAUAUUUUUUCAAUAUUUUUUUGUAAAUUUUAAAAAUAUUAAA